GGACACGUGGUAUCCUGUCUGAAUAUGGGGGGACCAUCCUCCAAGGCUAAAUACUCCUGACUGACCGAUAGUGAACCAGUACCGUGAGGGAAAGGCGAAAAGAACCCCGGCGAGGGGAGUGAAAAAGAACCUGAAACCGUGUACGUACAAGCAGUGGGAGCACAGGUUUACCUGUGUGACUGCGUACCUUUUGUAUAAUGGGUCAGCGACUUAUAUUCUGUAGCAAGGUUAACCGUAUAGGGGAGCCGAAGGGAAACCGAGUCUUAACCGGGCGUUAAGUUGCAGGGUAUAGACCCGAAACCCGGUGAUCUAGCCAUGGGCAGGUUGAAGGUUGGGUAACACUAACUGGAGGACCGAACCGACUAAUGUUGAAAAAUUAGCGGAUGACCUGUGGCUGGGGGUGAAAGGCCAAUCAAACCGGGAGAUAGCUGGUUCUCCCCGAAAGCUAUUUAGGUAGCGCCUCGUGAAUUCAUCUCCGGGGGUAGAGCACUGUUUCGGCUAGGGGGCCAUCCCGGCUUACCAACCCGAUGCAAACUGCGAAUACCGGAGAAUGUUAUCACGGGAGACACACGGCGGGUGCUAACGUCCGUCGUGAAGAGGGAAACAACCCAGACCGCCAGCUAAGGUCCCAAAGUCAUGGUUAAGUGGGAAACGAUGUGGGAAGGCCCAGACAGCCAGGAUGUUGGCUUAGAAGCAGCCAUCAUUUAAAGAAAGCGUAAUAGCUCACUGGUCGAGUCGGCCUGCGCGGAAGAUGUAACGGGGCUAAACCAU
This 771-nucleotide ribosomal RNA is filed under the name Salmonella enterica. Its description in RNAcentral is "partial 23S ribosomal RNA". It matches the Rfam family "Bacterial large subunit ribosomal RNA", at positions 420 to 1190 of the family's 2925-position model. Lineage: Bacteria; Pseudomonadati; Pseudomonadota; Gammaproteobacteria; Enterobacterales; Enterobacteriaceae. The record is from RNAcentral.